This 497-nucleotide ribosomal RNA is filed under the name uncultured bacterium. RNAcentral's name for it is "partial 16S ribosomal RNA". It matches the Rfam family "Bacterial small subunit ribosomal RNA", at positions 28 to 507 of the family's 1533-position model. The record is from RNAcentral.
GACGAACGCUGGCGGCGUGCCUAAUACAUGCAAGUUGAGCGAUGAAGAUUGGUGCUUGCACCAAUUUGAAGAGCAGCGAACGGGUGAGUAGCGCGUGGGGAAUCUGCCUUUGAGCGGGGGACAACAUUUGGAAACGAAUGCUAAUACCGCAUAACAACUUUAAACAUAAGUUUUAAGUUUGAAAGAUGCAAUUGCAUCACUCAAAGAUGAUCCCGCGUUGUAUUAGCUAGUUGGUGAGGUAAAGGCUCACCAAGGCGAUGAUACAUAGCCGACCUGAGAGGGUGAUCGGCCACAUUGGGACUGAGACACGGCCCAAACUCCUACGGGAGGCAGCAGUAGGGAAUCUUCGGCAAUGGACGAAAGUCUGACCGAGCAACGCCGCGUGAGUGAAGAAGGGUUUCGGAUCGUAAAACUCUGUUGGUAGAGAAGAACGUUGGUGAGAGUGGAAAGCUCAUCAAGUGACGGUAACUACCCAGAAAGGGACGGCUAACUACGUG